CCACACUGGGACUGAGACACGGCCCAGACUCUACGGGAGGCAGCAGUGGGGAAUAUUGGACAAUGGGCGAAAGCCUGAUCCAGCAAUGCCGCGUGAGUGAUGAAGGCCUUAGGGUUGUAAAGCUCUUUUACCCGGGAAGAUAAUGACUGUACCGGGAGAAUAAGCCCCGGCUAACUCCGUGCCAGCAGCCGCGGUAAUACGGAGGGGGCUAGCGUUGUUCGGAAUUACUGGGCGUAAAGCGCACGUAGGCGGCUUUGUAAGUUAGAGGUGAAAGCCUGGAGCUCAACUCCAGAAUUGCCUUUAAGACUGCAUCGCUUGAACGUCGGAGAGGUGAGUGGAAUUCCGAGUGUAGAGGUGAAAUUCGUAGAUAUUCGGAAGAACACCAGUGGCGAAGGCGGCUCACUGGACGACUGUUGACGCCGAGGUGCGAAAGCGUGGGGAGCAAACAGGAUUAGAUACCCUGGUAGUCCACGCCGUAAACGAUGAAGACUAGCUGUCCGGGCACUUGGUGCCUGGGUGGCGCAGCUAACGCA
Molecule: ribosomal RNA, 533 nt
Filed under: uncultured bacterium
Lineage: Bacteria
Description: bacterial SSU rRNA
Rfam family: Bacterial small subunit ribosomal RNA
Source: RNAcentral